UCACAGGCCAUCAAUGGGUCAAGUAGUUCAAAUUCUUGAGGGAGUUUUGGACGUGACACUGCCUCCAAUUCCCAGAGCUCUCCAAGUAAUGGUCGAUGACCAUGAGCACGUAGUCUUCUUCACUGAAUCAUCCACAUCUCAGAGUUCCCUGUCAAAGAGCAACAAUUCAACUGCUUCAUCUCAAGCAAAGAGUACCACAUCAUCAAGAAGUUCUUAAAUCGAUGUGAAGAAAAUAUUUUAACAUUUGUGUUUAAGAAUAUAUAUUUGGUUUAUUUCACUUGUAACAACCUGUAUGCAUAUUUGGAUAGAAGCCUUGCUUCGUAGUGUAUAAUAAUAAUGCCCCCUGCCAAAGCAAUUUUAAGAAUCACAAGCCUUGUGCCUCGCUGUUCUCUCUAAUGAACUCUGAUUGAUCUAUGCUCCUCUGCAUUGACUAUUGGCUUCACCUAAUCGCUUCAAUUGGCAAAAUUAGGUAUUGAAAUGAAAGCGACUUGGAACUUGGAAGUUAUCCAGAAGAAGGGGAAAAACAGCAAAAACAAUCAAACAAACAAACAUAAACGUGACGUAGUAACAAAUAACAUGGGUCAAGAUAUAAAUCAACUGGCCAACAUUGUUCAAUAAACUUUUUCCAACAUCUAAACUUUUUCAACCGAACCUGAAUUUUCUUGAGAGUUUUUUUGAGGCAUCAUGAUUGGUAAGGAGCUUGAAGGCAAAGUUCAACAGUUUCAUGACAAAGUUACAACCAUCGAUGAAAAGGUUACGACCUUAGCCAAGCAAAAUAACGAUUUGCAGAAACUCAUGAAACAUCCUUCAGCAAUUGAGCCAGUUGCGAAAAGAAAAACAACCGACUACUGAUCAAAGACAAGUUGAUAUAUUUACUGGAGGGACCUCUGCUCCUCAAAUGGUAAUUGCUACCCAACCACCUCUUGAACCUGCCGAACGCAUUGGAAGUACUCUCAUGCAAGCUCGUAACAUAUGACUUGACUUUCUUAUUUUUCAUGGUGCCAAUCAAACGGGAUGGAUUUUUCGAUAUGAGCAAUAUCGUCGCCUUACUGGAUUAUCAGAUGCUGACUUAUUGUCCUUAGCUAUUGGCCAUCUUGAUGGUGAUACUGUACCUUGGUUUAAUUGGAUAGAGCAAACUAUGGGCGCAAUUUAAACGGGCUUUGACUACUCAAUUUGGGACAUUAGAAGAGAAUGAUGCAGUUGGCAGUCUUACCAAACUACGUCAAAUAGGGACCGUUCUUGACUAUCAACGACAAUUUGAAAAGUUGGCUAAUCAGACUAGAAAUUUAACUGAGUCUUUCUUUAUCAGUUGUUUCCUCUCUGGGUUGCGUGAAGAUAUCAAGGCUGGCGUACAACUGUUCAAACCUGUUAGUCUUGUACAAACUUUUGAACUUGCUAGGUUUAGUAAAAGACAAUUACUUUGCAAGGCAACUGUUCCCCUGUUCCUGCCAUCCAAGAUCUAGUCCCACAAUUACAGCCGACUCCUACUCCACCAACACCCUCUUUAUUAGGACUGAUUUCCUCUACCUUACCUAAUAAUGUCAAACGUUUAUCCUCAGCUGAGCAGACAGAAAGACGUUCUGAAGGGCUCUGUUUCAACUCUGAUGAGCAAUUCAAGCCUGAACAUCGUUGCAAACAAUCUCAACUAUUGCUUUUAGACGCUGCUAUACCUCUUCACAACCCUCCAAAACCGCCUGACCAUCAUUCGGAUUGGAAGAUCUCGAUUAUUGAGACUGGGUAAAAGGCUUUCAGACAAGCCUGUUUGAAGGGGCAGGGAAUGUUAGGACCCUAAUAAUUUAUUUUAUUACUUGUUUUAAUUUUUUUUCCUAUUAAUACUAGGUUUUCUUAUUUCAAUUAUGAAUUAAUGCUCUUAUUAAAUUACAAUUAGAACCGUCUUGAACUACUAUAAAUAAGUGGUUCUUAUUAUAUUUUUGAAGGAGCAACAAUAAAAUUAAUUCUAAUCUCAGUUAAUUCUUCUCUCUUCCCUCUGAAUUCUUAAAUUCUUCAUUUAUUUCUCCCUUAAUUCUCUAACCAAAACCUCAUAAUCCUACCAGUAACGGACUGCAUUACGUUCGAGAAGACGAUUUACACACACACAAGAUAAUAAAGGCAUUUAAAUCACCUAAUUAAGUUGUAUAGGGAUAAAUAAUUAAAUUACAAAAAGCUCGACAUAUACUGAAAAAUAAAAAAGAAAUUGAACAAAGUCAUAAAUUUAUUGACAUCUAAAUUCUGAAAAUUGGUGUGUGUCUUCAGUAGGGAAAGUUAUCAUUUACAUACGGUUAUUUUUAUUGAUAUUUAAUACCUCUAUUUUAUGUUCAAUUGGAAGGAAUUCUAGGCUGUUCAGUUUUCUACUUACGGUAUUAUCACGAUCGUUGUUAUUGAGAAAAUUGUGGCAAUUUUUUUGAUUGAUAAUGAUGAUUUUAGUACGUGGCAGGCUCGGUGAUGCUGUUAUUUCGCGGAGCAUUUGGAUGCCCGCUCUAUACUGGUGAUUUUCGCUGGGAAGCAAGUAAUCAGAGGGCCGAGAUAGGAAGGAACACGCUCGUCAAAGCUUUAAAAGAUGAUGUAGUCGACAUUCUUUAUUUGGAUAACACAUAUUGCAGUCCAUCAUAUGCUUUCUUGUUUGAGAACUUUAUAUAUCCAAACUGAUAUAUGAUAGCAGGUACACUUUUUAUAUUUUUCCUUUCUUGUUUGAGAACUUUCAGUUUCACUCCAGAAUUAUCUACUGAAUUAAAGAUUAAAAUGGGAGAUGAAAGAAAUAGUCCAGGUACUGAUUUGUAGUGUUAGUUAUCUGGAUGAAAACAGAUUGUUGACAUAAUUGCCUCCCAUCCAGAUCAUGACAUCAUCAUUGGGAUUGACUCACUUGGAAAAGAAAAACUUUUAUUUCACAUAUCGCAUAAGCUCAAUAUAAAGGUUUGCUCACCCUUUUAAUAUCGGAAAACCUUUUCUUACAUAACGAUCAUCACGAUGGUCUCUCCAAGGGGGAUGAAAUCGAUAGCAUAUAUACAGCAAAUUGACAUGUUAUCUAAUUUUUGGAUCACUUGUAGAUGAUUUAGAAGGAUUUUGAUAGUUUUUAUUCUUCUAACAUCUAAAAUAUGUUUUACUUUUUAGAAACUGGGCGGGUUAGAUUGUCAUUUGGUGGAUUUAAUUGUGGCCAAAUUCAUACAUGAAAUGUAUUGUCACACAUGUAUUAUUGGAUGCAUCCAAUUGUAUGUUCUUCCUCUUCAUGUGCCAUGAGAACUUAAAACUGCCCUCUUCAUCUCUUGCAAAAUGUUGUUUAGUCACAAGCAAGUGGAAUAAAAUUUUUGCAUUCAUUUCCAAAGCAGAUAUUUACUCUGUGUUUCUUGUUUCACAUUUCUUUUUUUUUUUAUAGAUUUGGGUGUGGCCAGAACGCCUGCAAACCAUGCAUCUGCUUGGCUUCCAUGACACAUUCACAACCAAAACUUCUCUUGCUAGAGUGCGAGCUGUUCCACGGUAUAGUUUUAGCAUUGAUACUUUAGAGAAUUUAAAUACAAUGCACCAAACCAUUGGAAUUAUGCCAUCUGGUCUUCCUUGGGUGGUUAAGCCUCUUAAAGGAGGUCCUGGUUCUCUUUUUGCUUCUUACCAAAGCAAAUGGAGAGCAACGGGUUGAACUCAGACUGAGAAACUAAAAGAAGCUUUGGGAUCAGUGGACAGGUUUCGUAAGUACAUAUAUUCAGUUCCAUAUUCUGAUCAGUCCUGCUUUGCAGGGAUAGAGGAAUUUUUAAACCGUGCCCAGCCAUCGAAUAUCAGAGGCAUCGUGUCUUCAUCGUCCUGUUAUGUUGACCCUCUUUACUACUUUGGCCACCUUUGCAGAGCAAAUCAACCAUCACUGAGGUAUAAGCAGCAACAGAGAGUGCAGCACAAAACAGUUGUAGCCGCCCAAAUGAAAUUCAUUGUUGAAAGUGGUAGAUCCACUAAGGUAGAUAGGAAACGAAGGACUGCGGAAGUAGGUAUUUUAGGAGUUCGCAUGAGUAAGGUGGAUGCCCUUAGGCGGGCCCGACGAGGUGCGAAGCUUGCUCGAAGUGAGAGUUCUGAUUAAUUAGUGUCAAAUAUCAAUAUCAGGUAAGCUUGAAAUUCUUGCGAGUAAUGUUGCCUGUAUCAGUUUGAAUUCAGAGUCUAUUGUAUGGUUGAAGAAUACAUAUGGUGGUGUAGGGUGUAAGAAAAAUAAUCUUUUAUUUAUUUAUUUAUUUAUCUUGGAUGUCUAAAGCGACGGCCUAUUAGUGCUCAUUAAAGAAAAUGGUUGUGCGAAAGCACUUCGUCUGGAUCAAUCAUUUGAUUGUUUACGCGGGAUAGUUAUAGCGACUUUUCAAACUCGUGGCCUUUAAACACAUUAUAGUUUGCAAUCGUGGUCUUUACUCUUUACUUGAUUUGCAAUGAGGUAAAGAAGUCAAAUGACGGACCAAGAUAUUAGUUGAAGAAGCCAUACUACGGAUACGUCGCACGAGGUAUAUGUAAUCCCACGACACCUGGCAAGCGGACCGAAUCCAUGCGACUAUAGUAGCAGAGUCCGAUUCUACCUGCAAUAUAGAAUGGCCGAGGUGAGCUGCAAGCUCUAAGCUCUCAUGAACAGCCAUAAGCUCUAUGUAAAGGAUCGGACGAUAACCUAGGAAUGAUCCAAAAGUGCCUAAGAGCUCUCCCCAAGAGUCACGUAAAAUGCCCCCUGAAGCAGCCAUCCCUGGGUUUCCCCUAGAGCACCCAUCCACUGUCAACUUCACCACCCCCGGAGGUGGUCGAAUCCGAGAAAUCAGCCGAAGUGGUCUCCUAUGCCGUGUAACAACACGCCAUCCGUCCACUAAUCUACUAUCCAGGACGCCGCGCAGUUGGGAUGUUUUAAAACCGAAAGCAAAGCUGGCCAGCUUAAGAUCUGAAACUACUCGAAAAAUGACCGCAUCUACAAAAAAUGCCAUUGAAUCAAAUCUGUAAGCAUUUCGGGCCUUCCACACGUGCCAGAGGAUGAAACAAGGAAGUAGAACUCAAAUAUGGUUUCGGGAAGGAGCACAGCGCCUCCAGUGGCGAAGCAGCGCAUGAGGGGAGCGUUAUCUUUACUUGAUUUGCAAUAAGGUAAAGAAGUCAAUUGGGUAAUUUUUUUCUGUGAGAGUGAAUUGCGGCAAACGUGAGCAAAUUUUGCAUCAUUGUGCAUUUUGUUGUAGAAUGAGGAGAGUCAAUUUUCCUGACUAUCUAGACGAGUCUUUAGUUGAAUCUCUCCAUGGCCAUAAGUGGCCGGCAUAGACCAAAUCCUGAAACUGGUCAUAGUCCAAUAUGCAGACCACUCUGACUAUGGUCAAGACACUGGAAAAUGGUGAACGUUAGCUAAGUUUUGAAAGUUACCAAAAUUUAAUAAUAUCAUGUUUCUGAUUUCUAAUCAUGUUUUUUAUUUUGAAGAUUUCAGUUUUGACAAUUUGACUAAAUAAAUAUGCGGGUUAAAAUUUUCAUGAUCUAAAAAAAUGUAACGAGAACUAAUAAAAUUUAUUAUUUUAUUACGGUUUAUAUCAUUUGAAAUGUUGAUUCAAUAUAAAUGAUAUGUCCGGCCUUGUGGUGGCUGGUGGGUGCAAUUUGAGAUGGUAAAAUUUUUUUAUUUUGAAGACAAGAUGUGAAUCCCAUUUAAUAUUAUUAUUAAAUUAAGCAGUAUAAAGAAGUUAAGCAACCCAAAACCAUAAAGAAGUCAAACAGGCUAGAAGCCGUAAAGAAGUCUAGAAGCCAUAAAGAAACCGAAUAUCAUAAACUAAAGAAAAGAUAAAAUAUAGAGUAAUAACAGCAGCAAAAAAACAGAGAACAGUAGCGCCACAACAGAUCUAAUACUUGUCCGUUUGUAAUCAUAUGUUUGCUGUUGUUCUUUGUUUAUUGCAGCUGCUAUUACUCUCAUUUUAGCUUUUCCUUAGCUUAUGAUCUUCGGUUUCUAUAUGGCUUCUUGGCUGCUUAACUUCUUUACGGCUUCCAGGCCGCUUGACCUCUUAACGUCUCCUAAGUGUUUGACUUCUUUAUGGUUUACCCCAAAAUGACCGAAGUGUUCCACAUUUAUGUAUUUUAAAGAGGUGCAACCUCAAGAUUGUAAUUUGUAAAGGGCAUAAUUGUCAGUUCAAUUAGCUUAGUUGACUUGGGGAAGGACUAUAACAUCGUUCUUCUUCUCUAUGUCGGUCUGUCUAGCUGUUGUCUUUCUCUUAUGAGCAAUAAAACAAUACAUGAUAUGUAAAUUAUUUUUCACUCAAGUAUCUAUCUUGAUAGCACAGAAUUUGUUGUUGUUGCAGCAGCCAUGGCAAUCAUCAAGAACAAUUCAUGGUUGAUGCUUUUUGUUCUUUUUACGUGCUUUUCACUCAAAUCCCAUGUCUCCUUCGGAGCUGACACCGUUUCUGCAAACCAAUCUCUCUCUGGCGAUCAAACGAUCGUUCAAGGCGGAUGUACGGUACAGCAGUUCCUUCACGAGAAGUUGCAGCUCAGCAGGUUCUCUUCGGUUUUAAGAAUCUCAGAUGGUAACUUAGUUCUUUUUAAUGAGUCCCAACUACCCAUUUGGUCCACAAAUUUGACCGCUACCAGCAGACGUUCUGUGGAAGCAGUUCUUUUAGAUGAAGGAAAUCUUGUUUUGAGAGAUUUGUCAAAUAAUUUGUCAAAGCCUUUAUGGCAAAGUUUUGAUCAUCCAGCUCAUACUUGGAUUCCCGGUAUGAAGCUGACGUUCAACAAGAGAAACAACGUCAGUCAACUUAUCACUUCAUGGAAGAAUAAAGAAAAUCCUGCACCGGGUCUCUUCUCCCUUGAGCGAGCACCAGAUGGAUCAAAUCAAUAUGUUAUGUUGUGGAAUAGGUCUGAGCAGUACUGGUCAAGUGGACCUUGGGAUGAGAAUGCAAAAAUUUUCAGCAUGGUCCCUGAAAUGAAUCAAAACUAUAUCUACAAUUUCAGCUAUGUGUCGAAUGAAAACGAGAGCUAUUUCACCAACAAUGUGAAAGAUAGCACUUACACAUCUCGAUUCAUUAUGGAUGUUUCAGGACAGGUUAAGCAGAUGAAUUGGUUGCCUACCAACUCUUGGUUUCUGUUUUGGUCCCAACCAAGACAGCAAUGCGAGGUUUAUGCUCUUUGUGGUCAAUUUAGCACCUGCAAUCAGCAAACUGAGCGUUUUUGUUCUUGUUUGAAAGGUUUUCAACAAAAAUCGGUGAGUGACUGGAAUUUGGAAGAUUAUUCUGGUGGUUGUGUGAGGAAAACCCCGCUGCAGUGUGAAAAUAUUAGUCCUGCCAAUAGAAAAAGCGACCAAUUUUUCCAGUACAGUAACAUGAAAUUGCCUAAACAUCCACAAUCUGUGGCAGUAGGGGGUAUCAGGGAAUGUGAAACACACUGCUUGAAUAACUGCUCUUGCACUGCUUAUGCUUACAAAGACAACGCUUGCUCGAUUUGGGUAGGAAGUUUCGUGGGUCUGCAACAGCUACAAGGAGGUGGAGAUAUCAUUUAUAUCAAGCUUGCAGCUUCUGAGUUCGAGAGUCCCAAGAACAAGAAGGGAGUAGUCAUUGGCGGUGUUGUGGGCUCAGUGGCUGUCGUAGCUCUUAUUGGCCUGAUCAUGCUUGUAUACUUGGGAAGGAGAAAGACAGCAACUGUAACAACCAAAACUGUGGAGGGUUCUUUGGUGGCAUUUGCAUGCAAGGAUUUGCAAACUGCCACAAAGAAUUUCUCUAAAAAGCUGGGGGGAGGAGGUUUUGGUUCAGUUUUCAAAGGGGUGUUUCCGAAUUCAAGUCUCAUAGCUGUGAAGAAGCUUGAAAGCUUGAGCCAAGGAGAGAAGCAAUUUCGGACUGAAGUCAGAACCAUAGGGAAUAUCCAACAUGUCAAUCUGGUUCGGCUUCUGGGUUUCUGCUCUGAAGGUACUAGUAGGUUGUUGGUCUACGAUUUCAUGCCAAACGGUUCUUUAGACUCUCAUCUCUUCACUGAAAAAGAUUCAGACUUUCUUGAUUGGAAGACAAGAUACCAAAUUGCACUGGGGACAGCCAGAGGUUUGGCUUAUCUCCAUGAGAAGUGCAGAGACUGCAUCAUACACUGUGACAUAAAGCCAGAGAACAUUCUGUUAGACGCUGAAUUUUGUCCCAAAGUGUCGGAUUUUGGGCUGGCAAAGCUUGUUGGGAGGGAGUUCAGCCGUGUCCUAACAACCAUGAGAGGAACAAGAGGUUACCUUGCACCUGAAUGGAUUUCAGGAGUGGCCAUAACAGCCAAAGCGGAUGUCUACAGCUAUGGAAUGAUGCUGUAUGAAUUUGUAUCAGGAAGGAGGAACUCCCAGGAAUCUGAAGAUGGUAAAGUGAAGUUCUUCCCAUCUUGGGCUGCUAAACAAAUAGUUGAAGGCAGCAAUCUCAUUAGCCUAUUAGACCCAAGACUGGAGGGCAACGCUGACGAAGUAGAGCUUGCAAGACUUUGCAAAGUGGCUUGUUGGUGCAUCCAAGAUGAUGAGACUCACAGGCCAUCAAUGGGUCAAGUAGUUCAAAUUCUUGAGGGAGUUUUGGACGUGACACUGCCUCCAAUUCCCAGAGCUCUCCAAGUAAUGGUCGAUGACCAUGAGCACGUAGUCUUCUUCACUGAAUCAUCCACAUCUCAGAGUUCCCUGUCAAAGAGCAACAAUUCAACUGCUUCAUCUCAAGCAAAGAGUACCACAUCAUCAAGAAGUUCUUAAAUCGAUGUGAAGAAAAUAUUUUAACAUUUGUGUUUAAGAAUAUAUAUUUGGUUUAUUUCACUUGUAACAACCUGUAUGCAUAUUUGGAUAGAAGCCUUGCUUCGUAGUGUGUAUAAUAAUAAUGGAACCUGCCAAAGCAAUUUUAAGAAUUACAAGCCUUGUGCCUCGCUGUUCUCUCUAAUGAACUCUGAUU
Molecule: long non-coding RNA, 8846 nt
Filed under: Citrus sinensis (sweet orange)
Lineage: Eukaryota; Viridiplantae; Streptophyta; Magnoliopsida; Sapindales; Rutaceae
Description: long non-coding RNA (CSIN_LNC000821)
Source: RNAcentral